This 67-nucleotide transfer RNA is filed under the name Plectrocnemia sp. 1 YW-2021a. RNAcentral describes it as "tRNA-Thr". Lineage: Eukaryota; Metazoa; Arthropoda; Insecta; Trichoptera; Polycentropodidae. The record is from RNAcentral.
GUUUUAAUAAUUUAUAAUAAAAUAUUAAUUUUGUAAAUUAAAUUAAAGUCUAAAUACUUUUAAAACU